RNAcentral lists this ribosomal RNA (497 nucleotides) under uncultured bacterium. RNAcentral's name for it is "partial 16S ribosomal RNA". It matches the Rfam family "Bacterial small subunit ribosomal RNA", at positions 28 to 507 of the family's 1533-position model. The record is from RNAcentral.
GACGAACGCUGGCGGCGUGCCUAAUACAUGCAAGUAGAACGCUGAAGAGAGGAGCUUGCUCUUUUUGGAUGUGUUGCGAACGGGUGAGUAACGCGUAUGUAACCUGCUUUGUAGUGGGGGAUAACUAUUGGAAACGAUAUCUAAUACCGCAUAACAUUGUAUGACACGUUUCAGUUAUUUGAAUUUGGCAAUUUCGCGACGACAAGACGGACUUGCGUUGUAUUAGCUAGUAGGUGAGGUAAUGGCUCAUCUAGGCGAGGAUACAUAGCAGACGUGAGAGGAUGAUCGGCCAGACUGGGACUGAGACAGGGCACAGAGGGCUAGGGGAGGCAGCAGUAGGGAAACUGCAGCAAUGGGGGCGAAACUGACCGAGAUACGCCGAGUGAGUGAAGAAGGUCUCCGGAUCGUAGAGGUCUGUUGUCGGUCAAGAACGGGUGUGAGAGUGGAAAGAUCACAGUGUGACGGUAGCUUACAAGAAAGGGACGGCUAACUACGUG